AACCUAGCACACCUGCGGUGUGUACCUGCGGAGGGAUCAUUACACAACAAAAUAUGAAGGUCUGGCUUCGCGGCCGGCUGAAGUAUUUUUUUUCACCCAUGUCUUUUGCGCACUUGUUGUUUCCUGGGCGGGUUCGCCCGCCACCAGGACCAAACCAUAAACCUUUUUUUAUGUAGUUGCAAUCAGCGUCAGUAAAAACAAUGUAAUUAUUACAACUUUCAACAACGGAUCUCAGAUCGG
RNAcentral lists this unclassified non-coding RNA (240 nucleotides) under soil metagenome. RNAcentral describes it as "partial contains 5.8S ribosomal RNA, internal transcribed spacer 2, and large subunit ribosomal RNA". The record is from RNAcentral.